GACAGAGGAGCCAAGCGUUGUCCGGAUUGGCUGGGCGUAAAGCGCACGCAGGCGGCCGUGCACGUGGGGUGUGAAAGCUGGCGGCUUAACUGCCAGACGCCACCUCAUACGGCACGGCUCGAGCCCGUGAGAGGUCCACGGAAUUGCCGGUGUAGUGGUGAAAUGCGUAGAGAUCGGCAGGAACACCCAGGGGGAAACCAGUGGACUGGCACGGUGCUGACGCUCAGGUGCGAAAGCGUGGGGAGCGAACCGG
This 253-nucleotide ribosomal RNA is filed under the name uncultured bacterium. RNAcentral's name for it is "partial 16S ribosomal RNA". It matches the Rfam family "Bacterial small subunit ribosomal RNA", at positions 524 to 776 of the family's 1533-position model. The record is from RNAcentral.